AACGAACGCUGGCGGCAGGCCUAACACAUGCAAGUCGAGCGCCCCGCAAGGGGAGCGGCUGACGGGUGAGUAACGGGUGGGAACUUACUUUUUCGUUCGGAACCUCUCUGGGAAACUGGAGUUACUACCGGAUACGCCCUCACGGGGCAAGUUUUAUCGCCGAAAGCUCGGCCCGCGUCUGAUAGGCGCGUUGGCGAGGUAACGGCUCACCAAGGCGGCGUUCUGUAGCUGGUCUGAGAGGAUGAUCAGCCACACUGAGACUGGGACACGGCCCGGACUCCUACGGGAGGCAGCAGUGGGGAAUAGUGGACAAUGGGGGCAAGCCUGAUCCAGCCAUGCCGCGUAAGUUAUGAAGUCCUUAAGGUUGUAAAGCUCUUUUGUCCGGGAAGAUAAUGACGGUACCGGAAGAAUAAGCCCCGGCUAACUACGUG
Molecule: ribosomal RNA, 431 nt
Filed under: uncultured bacterium
Lineage: Bacteria
Description: partial 16S ribosomal RNA
Rfam family: Bacterial small subunit ribosomal RNA
Source: RNAcentral